GAAUGAGAUUUUUUUUUAUAUGUAUAAAGAAUGGUAUGUAUACGUUUUCCAACAUUCGAACUGUUGAGUGUUGCAUUGUUGAGUUUUAUCGCAGUUUCCUUCAUCCGAUCCAUCGUCACAAUCGCGUUUAUUGUCUACGAAUUAUCAAUAAAAUACGAAAUAUUAUUAAUGAAGUGAGAAGAUUCGAUGUAUUUCAAUGAGCAAAAGUUAAUAUAACAAUUAUUAACGUGAAGUCAAUAUCUAUUUAGUAUGUAAGAAAGUAGUAAGGGUUUGAUCAUACACAUAUACACACAUAAAUUAAAAACAAUUUGCAAAUGAAAUGAACGAAGCUGCGUUAGUAAACACUUUGCUGACAAAAAUUGAGAUUUGGUAGUAGUAGUAGUAGCAGAGCAGAGCAACGAAGGAAUCAUCAUUGGAUACACACUAUCGCAUUAACGUUGCAUCGACAACAUGGCUCAGCACACGAACAACAGAGAUAGCGAGCCAAAGAGAGGGAGAGAUUACUUAGCACAUUGUGGCCCAAUAUGUCCGACACAAUGGGAGGAAAUGACAGCAAAUUUUAAAAUUGGCGCGCUGUUUAGUUUCGAUUUGAGUUGUAAAAUUACAUUGACGUCCCCUUUGAAAUUCGGUGCGCCACCGUCGGCUCAAAAAGACUUGAAGUCUUCACAUCCUCUCAUUGGUCCGACACAUCAAGUGGUGACGACGAUGAUGGAGACGAGGAAUGUGGGGUGGAGCGCGGAAAUGUGGUUUCAAACCUAGCGAAGAUAGUAGUGACGAUGAGCCACUAGCGGCCAAAAUAAGACGUACCGAACAACCAUUUAAUUCGGUUUCAAACCUAGCGAACACUCAGCCAGUUGUUCGAUUGCAAAGAAUGAGCAAUGAUUUGUUACGGCAAUGGAAUGUGCCG
Molecule: long non-coding RNA, 907 nt
Organism: Contarinia nasturtii (swede midge)
Lineage: Eukaryota; Metazoa; Arthropoda; Insecta; Diptera; Cecidomyiidae
Exons: 4
Source: RefSeq, a predicted model, not a curated record